GAGACUCAGGGUGCUUUACAAGGGACACGGCAGAGCAGGAGAAGAGUUAAGGGAGGGAAGGAAUGAGAGAGGGAGAGAGAGCAUGCUGCAGAAGUGGGCUACUCCUGCUACCCUGGUUUGUGCUGCGUGUGGGCAGGCUUGCUUUUGCAGAGAAAUGAUUCCACAUGAAGUGCGACGCACUCGGCCCCCGUCGUCCUCGGCGGCAGCAGCAGGUGUGAAGUCGUGACACUCUCCCCUACCACACAGAGCUCACCCUUCAGACGCUAAAGACCCCUGGACCGAACAGACAGCCCUACCCAUCCUCUCUAACCAUCCCUCCAUUAUCUUUAUUUCCAUCUUUAAUCCUUCCUCACCUGUUCCUUAGGCCUGGAUUUUCUUUGUUAUCAAGACAAGACCUGAUAAUCAACGGCCUUGGGUGAACUGGAUAGAGAGAGAAAGAGAGACAAGAUUAGGAAGGUUAAUUUAUAGCUAAUUAAAGUGAGACAAAGAACAGAACAUCAAAAAGUGAGGAAAAGAGAAAGGAAAGUGAACUAGAAAGUCAGAGAGAGGGGAGAACAAAAAAGAAA
This is a long non-coding RNA of Lates calcarifer (barramundi perch), 566 nucleotides long. RefSeq lists it as uncharacterized. The transcript has 2 exons. NCBI's taxonomy places the organism in Eukaryota, Metazoa, Chordata, Actinopteri, Centropomidae. The record is from RefSeq and is a predicted model, not a curated record.